Molecule: ribosomal RNA, 440 nt
Filed under: uncultured bacterium
Lineage: Bacteria
Description: bacterial SSU rRNA
Rfam family: Bacterial small subunit ribosomal RNA
Source: RNAcentral
CCUACGGGUGGCAGCAGUCGGGAAUCUUCCGCAAUGGGCGAAAGCCUGACGGAGCGACGCCGCGUGAGCGAUGAAGGCCUUCGGGUUGUAAAGCUCUGUGGGGAGAGAAGAAUAAGUUCAAGCCAAUACCUUGAAUGAUGACGGUAUCUCCUUAGCAAGCACCGGCUAACUCUGUGCCAGCAGCCGCGGUAAGACAGAGGGUGCAAACGUUGUUCGGAUUUACUGGGCGUAAAGCGCGUGUAGGCGGCUUGGCAAGUCGGAUGUGAAAGCCCACGGCUCAACCGUGGAAGCGCAUCCGAAACGGCCUCGCUCGAGUCUCGGAGAGGAAGGUGGAAUGCUUGGUGUAGAGGUGAAAUUCGUAGAUAUCAAGCAGAACACCUGCGGCGAAGGCGGCCUUCUGGACGAUGACUGACGCUGAGACGCGAAAGCGUGGGGAGCAA